GGGCAAUGCGAGCUCCGCUCUGAGCUGCAGGCGCCUCCCGCCCUCCCAAGGCAGCCUUGGCCCCGCUCUGAAAAGAUUAAGGAGCAGUUGCAUUCCUCGCGCACCCUAAGGUCCUGGCGCCGCGGUUCCUCCUCUGCAGAUGUGGGAGACAUUUUGCAGAAGAGGAGACUGCAGUUAGAAGAGGUCCAGUGGCUGGCCUGUCGUGAUCGAGCUGGAGAGUCAGCACCCAUACUCAGGUGCUUCAGGAGCUGGACGGAGCUGGUGACAGGAGCAUCGCAUCCAAGCUCACAGGCCAGCUGGCCUUGACCAUGCACAGCAGCAGCCCAAGAGAGACCUCCUCUCAACAAGGUGGAAGGCACCGGGGAGCAGGUUGAAGACAAAAGGGCCGUGUAGCAGCUUAUGACAAGUACCUGGGGAUUCUGAGUGGCCCCCACAAGCAUAGCCAAAUGAGUGAGCAGCCGAGUAAGAAUGAAGACCACUGGGGACAGCCC
Molecule: long non-coding RNA, 491 nt
Organism: Peromyscus maniculatus bairdii (prairie deer mouse)
Lineage: Eukaryota; Metazoa; Chordata; Mammalia; Rodentia; Cricetidae
Source: RefSeq, a predicted model, not a curated record